UUUUGCCACGCGACAUUCACCUGGUCAUACUGUUUUUGUUGGAACUGAACUGACGAUGAGAUUCCAUUGCUUUUUACUGAUAUCCUAUCGCGUAAACUGUUAAUACCGGCCAUUGUAAUAUCAGCAUCAGUUGCAGAUGCUGUAUUUUCUACUGAACCGAAAUUGGUGGAAACUGGUGGAAAAUGUGUUAUCAUACCCCUCACUAAACUGAAGAAGGCUGAAGUGAUUCGUUUGGAAGGAGAAAAACCACAUGUGUUUGUGUGUUACUACACCCGUGGGAAAAGAUGUUGGCGCUUAAAAGAAGAUGAAUUUUCACUGGAAUUUACAGGAGGAGACGUUUCCUUAAUUCUUAAAGAAAUCCGCUCCAAAAUCGUUAAAGUAAAAGUCUUUACCAGAAGAUAUGUUAUUUGGAAAUAUGUUGUCAAAAAACCAGAACUGGACCCCCCCACCUCCGGGGGAACUGAUCACGGUGGCCACGGGUACCUGGGGAAAUGUAGGGCAAUAGCCUGAUGAACCCCUGCUGUCUCCAGAUGUGGUGCACAAACAGAAACUGCUGCUGAGAAAACAAUGAAGAUCUGCUGGGUACUUGACUUGCUACUAAGUGUCAUAAAAUGUUAAGUACUGUAUUACUCCUAACACUUUAUUUAGAUUUGUUUACACUCUUGGUCCAAAUCUGACUUUGUCUAUAUCCAGUUGAAAUCAAAUAAUACUACGUAAACUACAUUCCUAUAUUAUUUGAAAUACCAUUUCUAAAAAUCCUUCUCAGUAUUAUGCAGGGUUGGGUGAUAAUGAUACGGAUAAUUGUCGUGAAAUAAUUUUACUUGACAAUGAUAACAAGAGUUUGCUAGAUGCUCGAUAUAAUGUUUACUGUAAGUGCCAAAAGUAAUUUAUCUGGUGUGUUUACGAGUCUCAGUCUCGUGAGCACUAAACAGCGCUGUGAGAUUAGGCAAACCUAUCCAACCUUUGCCUCCGAUACCACUGAUGUUUUCUUCCCCCCAUUUAAAUAUUUUUAGCAUUUAUUUAUCAGUAUGUGUGGAACAGAUAAUCAUUCUUUCACAAUCUACUAAAUACAGACUUCUUCAUUAUAAGACAAAAAAAAUACAAUAUGAAAAAAUAUAGCACUUGCACCAAAGGUUAAUAAACACAAAUCAGUCAGAAUAAAUACAUUUGACCGUAUAAAAUGAGUUUGUUACAAUUUUUACGGAUGUAACUAUUUUUGAUAAUCAAAGCAAGGCGAUUUCAAACACAGUGUUAAUUCAAAUUGCUUUACAUGAAAGGAAGCAACAUAAUAAUAACAAUGAAUAUCAACAUAAAAUGGACAGAAAUGAACAUCUGCAUCUUAACUUGAGCUACUACUGCUAAGAGUCUCCAAGAGACACACAAAAAUACGAAUAGAUAAUAUUAAUAAUUAAUACGAGUCAUUGGUCAUUUAGUUCUGAUCAUAAAACCACUAAAGCCACUCGAGUCACACAGUUCAAAACCACUAAAACAUUCUAGAAAACUUUCAUCUAGGAGCAAAAAUCUGCCUUUAAACUUGAAAGAAGUAAAGAUUUCAUAUUUAUUGUGAUAAUUAUCGAUAUCGAUUGAUAUGAAGACGUUUGUGAUUAAUUUUGAUCAUAUCGCCCAGCCCUAGUCUGAUAACUCAAUACCUUUUUUGCACUUUUUAUGUCAGAUCCACCAGUCACUAGUGGAAAUAAAUGAAAUGAAGGCUUUCUACUGUACCUUUCUGCCACUGCUAAUAAGAUAUAGUAAUCCACUGCUGUGUUAUUGUCAUUUUGAACGAUGAUGUAUUACAAACACUUCCAUGGUGCAAUAGAUUUUUUUUCGUGCAAUAAUCAGAUUUGGACUGAGAGUGAGAAUGUACUGUAGUCUUUAGACGCCAGUGAACUUUCCAAACUUUCCGUUAUUCAUUCUUCAUCUCAAACUUAUCUCUAUUCAUAAUCCGAUUGUAUUUUAAACGCACUUUUGUUUCUUGUCAGAGUGCAGAAACUUGAACACUUGUUAUGAUGUUAGGCAGAUUGUAGCUUUAGAUUUUAACAAGUGCUUUCUGCUUAUUGUGCAACGUAAUUCACUACCCUAUAUAAAGAUAUCUAUAUAAAAGUAUAUUCAUUCUUUAAUUAAGUGACAUUUUUGCAGAAUUAAUAUAUAAUUUCUUCAAUGCCUUGUUAUAUUUUAAUCAAAUAAAUAUUUUGCACCACAUAUUUAUCCCAACA
This is a long non-coding RNA of Carassius auratus (goldfish), 2213 nucleotides long. RefSeq lists it as uncharacterized. The transcript is spliced from 6 exons. The record is from RefSeq and is a predicted model, not a curated record. Lineage: Eukaryota; Metazoa; Chordata; Actinopteri; Cypriniformes; Cyprinidae.